UUUAGCAUGUCAUCUUGUUUCUUUUAAUAUAAAAACCCCUCAACUAUUGUAGUGAUACAGAAUCAAAUAUGACAUGGUACAUGUCAUUUAAAUAAGAAAUGUGCCUUUUUACAUGAUUGGGAAAACAGAUAUGCAUCUGUUGGUCAUAGAUACCUAAAAAGAAAGGUAGGUGCGUGGAUCAGAAAACCGGUCAGUAUCUGGUGUGAUCACCAUUUGCCUCAAGCAGCGUGACGCAUCUCCUUCGCAUAGAGUUGAUCAGGCUGUUGAUUGUGGCCUGUGGAAAGUUGUCCCACUCCUCUUCAACGGCUGUGCAAAUUUGUUGUUCGUUGUCUGUAGCUUAUGCCUGCCCAUACCAGAACCCCACUGCCACCAUUAGGCACUCUGCUCACAACCUUCACAUCAGCAAACCGCUCACCCACACAGUUAAGCUUUGUCCUCAGAGGCAAUUCAUUUUGCAGUCAUAAAUCUGCCAGGUACAGCCGAAACCGGGAUUCAACCAUGAAGAGCACUUCUCCAGCAUGCCAGUGGCCAUAGAAGUUGAAUCCAGUGAGGGUGAACUCCCCUGAUUCUGUGAUGUGGCCAACCGGUAAGGUGCACAGAAGACCAAGGCCUUCUACUUCAGCGCAGACCCCUCAGAUCCACAAAAGGCCUCCAAUCAUUGAGAACUGUGGGCAGGAACAGACAUCUGGGGAUGGACGGGACAUGAAUCCAGAGCGUCUCAGCCAGUCUGGAAGGGUGACUCGGCUGAUGGAGAGAAAUUAUGAUGGGGUGAUCUCAUCCUCCAACUCUGAUGACAUCUCUAUCUACUCCUUCACUGACUGUGAAUCUGAGAUUAUUGUGGCCAAGCCCAACAUCCUUCUCCCUCCCUCUGUGAGUGCCCUGAAGAAGGCAUCACGCCUGAUGGAGUUGGUCCCUACUGUCCGGCCCUGCAGGGAGCAGCUGGACAAGAAGACACAGUGGACCAACACCAACGAGGAGAG
This is a long non-coding RNA of Oncorhynchus tshawytscha (Chinook salmon), 980 nucleotides long. The record is from Ensembl. NCBI's taxonomy places the organism in Eukaryota, Metazoa, Chordata, Actinopteri, Salmoniformes, Salmonidae.